This 545-nucleotide ribosomal RNA is filed under the name uncultured Glomeromycotina. RNAcentral describes it as "SSU rRNA". It matches the Rfam family "Eukaryotic small subunit ribosomal RNA", at positions 548 to 1096 of the family's 1831-position model. The record is from RNAcentral. Lineage: Eukaryota; Fungi; Glomeromycota.
UUGGAGGGCAAGUCUGGUGCCAGCAGCCGCGGUAAUUCCAGCUCCAAUAGCGUAUAUUAAAGUUGUUGCAGUUAAAAAGCUCGUAGUUGAAUUUCGGGGUUAGUAGGUUGGUCGUGCCUAUGGUAUGCACUGGCUUUACUGAUUCCUCCUUCUUGAAGAACUGUAAUGUCAUUAAUUUGGUGUUGCAGGGAAACAGGACUGUUACUUUGAAAAAAUUAGAGUGUUUAAAGCAGGCUAACGCUUGAAUACAUUAGCAUGGAAUAAUGAAAUAGGACGUUUGAUCCUAUUUUGGUGGUUUCUAGGAUUGACGUAAUGAUUAAUAGGGAUAGUUGGGGGCAUUAGUAUUCAAUUGUCAGAGGUGAAAUUCUUGGAUUUAUUGAAGACUAACUACUGCGAAAGCAUUUGCCAAGGAUGUUUUCAUUAAUCAAGAACGAAAGUUAGGGGAUCGAAGACGAUCAGAUACCGACGUAGUCUUAGCCAUAAACUAUGCCGACUAGGGAUCGGAUGAUGUUAAUUUUAAUGACUCAUUCGGCGCCUUACGUAAA